Molecule: ribosomal RNA, 492 nt
Filed under: uncultured bacterium
Lineage: Bacteria
Description: partial 16S ribosomal RNA
Rfam family: Bacterial small subunit ribosomal RNA
Source: RNAcentral
AUUGAACGCUGGCGGCAGGCCUAACACAUGCAAGUCGAGCGAACCUAGCUUGCUAGGUGAGCGGCGAACGGGUGAGUAACGCGUAGGAAUCUGCCUGGUAGUGGGGGACAACGUUCCGAAAGGAACGCUAAUACCGCAUACGCCCUACGGGGGAAAGCAGGGGAUCUUCGGACCUUGCGCUAUCAGAUGAGCCUGCGUCGGAUUAGCUAGUUGGUAGGGUAAAGGCCUACCAAGGCGACGAUCCGUAACUGGUCUGAGAGGAUGAUCAGUCACACCGGAACUGAGACACGGUCCGGACUCCUACGGGAGGCAGCAGUGGGGAAUAUUGGACAAUGGGGGCAACCCUGAUCCAGCCAUGCCGCGUGCGUGAAGAAGGCCUUCGGGUUGUAAAGCACUUUAGGUCGGGAGGAAGGUUCGCUGGCUAAUAUCCAGCGGAAUUGACGUUACCGACAGAAUAAGCACCGGCUAACUCCGUGCCAGCAGCCGCAGUAA